Molecule: ribosomal RNA, 318 nt
Filed under: uncultured Geobacillus sp.
Lineage: Bacteria; Bacillati; Bacillota; Bacilli; Caryophanales; Anoxybacillaceae
Description: bacterial SSU rRNA
Rfam family: Bacterial small subunit ribosomal RNA
Source: RNAcentral
GACGAACGCUGGCGGCGUGCCUAAUACAUGCAAGUCGAGCGGACUGGAUUGGAGCUUGCUCUGAUUCGGUCAGCGGCGGACGGGUGAGUAACACGUGGGCAACCUGCCCGCAAGACCGGGAUAACUCCGGGAAACCGGAGCUAAUACCGGAUAACACCGAAGACCGCAUGGUCUUUGGUUGAGAGGCGGCGCAAGCUGUCACUUGCGGAUGGGCCCGCGGCGCAUUAGCUAGUUGGUGAGGUAACGGCUCACCAAGGCGACGAUGCGUAGCCGGCCUGAGAGGGUGACCGGCCACACUGGGACUGAGACACGGCCCAG